This 3754-nucleotide long non-coding RNA is filed under the name Homarus americanus (American lobster). RNAcentral's name for it is "uncharacterized LOC121879774, transcript variant X3". The record is from RNAcentral. Lineage: Eukaryota; Metazoa; Arthropoda; Malacostraca; Decapoda; Nephropidae.
GCCAACACCCGUGAUAGACAAUGUAAACAAACUCGGUUUUACCAUCGGGUUCUGUCACGUAUUGUUGUAGUUACUGCCUGGUUAGUUCCCGCCUCGGCUUCACAGAGGGAGGAUGUACGACUUUCUUCCUCCAUGGAGAAUGGAGGAUAUGUGAAGGAAGGUACUGGAACCACCUGUCAUAACCAGGACAUACAACCAUCUGCCCCGGCCAUAUAUACUGUCCAGCCGGACCUCUCCUCACCGCCAGCAAACUGCCCCUGUGUUGAGAGUACCGCUGUAUGUAACUGCAAGAGUGACGCUCCACCCAAGUCUAAGGUUGAACUACUUACGUGGGUUAGACCAAAAGGUUGGCUCCUGCUAGGCAUAACGGUGGGGUUCCUCGCCUGGUCUGCCAUCUUCUUCACGCUGGUUUCUCUCAACAUAAUCUAGCCCAGGACGUAGCAGUUUGGUGUUUUCAUUCCGUAAAAUCAUCGUAUAUGUUUACAUGGGUUCGUGAUUAUUUGUUAUUGUGCAAGAAAGUGAAUGUGGAUAGAGGAAUUGGUUAAUCAUGGCGACAUCACAUAUUCAGCGGACAAUGGAUUCAGAGCCAAAUGAAGUGAUAAUGAAAAAUGAAUUAAACACAAAUGAAUUUAACUGCACGGAUAAAAAGACCAACCAUCAGGAAACUACAAAAACAAACAGGGAAGAAGAAUUAACAGACAAUACCAAUAUUCGACAAAAUAAAGGAAAUAACACAGUCACAUAUGAAAAGGAAGACGUUAUUGAUGUAGGAGUAACUAUGGGAAAUGGAAAUAGUGUUGAAGAACCUCUGGAUUUGACCUGUAGUACGCCCACUCAACAAAACGUACAUGUCUGUCAGUCUUGCCAACACUUGUACAAUGAGACCCAAGGAGUUGUUCUCACGGCCAAUACCCUCCACACCACCCAUCACCAUGUCCCUAGCUAUCAUGAGAGAUCUUUCCUUCAACCAGUUAAAUCAUGGAAAACUUGUAGCUAUGAUGGUCUGUUUGACUGCCCAGAGAGUCAGUGUAGCACCUCCGGGAGACGACCUUCUGUGUGGCAGCGUCUCCUACCCCGCAAUGAACCUUGGUGGCCGUACGUCAAGAUCACGGUGCUGGUCAUCUGCGCCAUCUUGCCGUUUGCGUUCCUGGUGGUGUAUUUUAUCUUUGCCUACAAGAAGUAAAUGUGUCGACCCUCGGAAAAUUCCCUCCCCUAUGGGUUUACGAGCUGAGUUACAUUUGCCAUGUGGGGUUAAAACCAACUUAAUACUUUUGUGUAUUUUGAUGAUUUUAAUGAUCCAGCCGUGACCCUAGUAUCAUUUACUGUCCCUCUUGAUGACACGACCUUUAUUAUUGAGAAUUUAAUAACUCCACUUUGACUUUAACUUAAAAUUUAACUUAAUAAUUCCUUUGAUCUAUAACCUGUGUAUAAAAAUGUUACUUCAUAAAAGAGUGUGAGAUGGAAAUGCAGUUAUGACCAAGUUGUAGUCAUCUGAAUUAUUACCCACAUAUUGUUGGUAAAGUGGAACCUCCCUCUCGCUCGCUACCUGUAUAUAGAGAGGAGAAUCCAUAAGAUAUGAAGCCUCUAUCUAGCUCAUAUAUUAACUAGAGUGAUGAACAUGACAAAACAAAACAGUUAUGCGAAGAUUCCACAACUAAGAGAUCAUCAAUAUAAUGUACAGUCGGGGUCAAAAGUUCGUCGCGGUAAAACAGAUUCACGGGAAUGGGUCUCCGAACUGACUUGCCCUAGCUAUUGUAUCUCGUUUGGGGUCACUGUAAUUAUUGACAUUGUGUUUUUACUGUAUACAUUAUUAUUUUUUCCAUUAUAAAUUAUGCUAUAUAUUUACUUAAGAGAGAGAAUAUAAAUUAAAUACAUAAGAAAUUGACCUAACUUAACCUACCCUCAAAAUAGGAUGUUGUCUUUUAAAGGGUAAUGUCAGAGGCCCAGAACUUCCUCCACACUUAGUUUUAGUCUCGUACUGCACACUAUAAACGUCUUCCAUAAACCGUGCCUGAUGUAAUGCCUUAACAUGUGGUUCUGUUUCAUGUUUACAAUUAUAUUAAUCAUAAUUCCAAUUUCAGAAAAAAAUAUAUAAAUUUUCAGUAGAAUAAUGUUAUCCAGAUGUAAAGUUAACACAUAAUAUAGUUCACAUUUUACCCAUAUAUACAGGGUGACUCAAAAAGAUGUACAGUACAGUAUAGUAUAGACUGCACACUGACUACAGAUACAUGUAUUUGUUGCAAUUGCAUGAAUGUUGUUGUUGUUAUCAUUAUCAGUGUUUAAUGGCCAUUUUUCACACUUGCAUGGGUUAAUUGCAGUUACCUGAUGGCAGCUCUCCAUGUUGCACCAUCUGUUGCAGUCUUGUCAGGUUCCUAACUCAAUGGCAUUUCUUACAGCCUCACCCCAUGUCAUUCUUGGCCUGCCCCUGGCUCUCCUCCACUCCACAUUGAGGGUCAUGCAUCUCUCGGCCCCAGUUGGUUUCACCCAUUCUCUCCACCUGCCUGAACCAUCCCAACCUGCCUCUAUGCAGGACUUCACCAACACUCUCAAUACCCAGCUGCCCUCAUAGCUACAUUUCUUCAUCACUUAACACAUCCACCUCACCAUUCUCAUUUCAGUUCACUCAAGUCUGCUUAUGUCACUGCCCAUGUGUCACUGCUCAUCCCACAUCUCACACCAGCCACAUAUAUCCUUUCUUUCACUUGUAGGGAAGGUCUUCUUGCUGUUAAUAAAGGCAGCAGCUUCCUAAACAUCCCCCACCCACUUUUGACUCAUACAACUGAUCAGGCUUCAGCUUUGAUCAUGUCACCCAGGUAACAGAACUGAUCAACACAGCCUGAGGACAUAUCUCCUAUGUUAAGUUUCUCCAGCCUUGCUCUGGCCAGUCUGCCGUCUAUUCCACUGCACCUCUUGUGUAUGCACCUUCCACUCUCACUGUGCUUGAUUGAAUUGCUACCAAAACCUUUCUUGUAACACUGUACUACAAGAUUUCAUGCAAUCUCUACAAAAAUUUAGAAGGCAGUGUGUAUACAUAUAUUUUUUUGUCACCCUGUAGUUGCUAGAAAAUUAAAUACUGUAGUUAAUGAAUAAAGAAAUAAAGUUUUAUAAAUUUGUUAUCUAAUUUUUAAAGGAAUUACUCCUAUGUAUUUCUUAAGAGACCAAUAUUUUCAUAAAGUGUAUUUUAUAAACUCGAUAUAGUACAGUAAAAUACUACAAUACUGUACUACCUGUAUACUGUAUCAUGUUGAGAAGUGAUAGACUAGUGUUUGUCACACCUCCUAUGGGUAAUAUUCUCCUCUUGAAUGUUACCAACACUUAUGUUUAUGGAUCACCUGACAAUUAGCCUUCCCCGACCUUAUUUCACCUUAAUGCCAACCUAACCACUCGCCCCUCUCCUAGGUAGCAUUAAGAUGACAUAAACAGGGGUCAGGCUGACCUUUUUUUGUUUUUCCUCAGUCUGGCAAACUCUUAUCCACGAGUGAGAACAGUAGCAGGAAUUAAAAGCAACUCUCCCUCUCUCUCUCUGUGCUUGCUGUUAUAACACAUCUUUUAUACUUGUGAUUGAUGGGAGGUUCUGUGUUGCUGUUGGCUACAGUCUCAGUACUGGGAAAGGUCUUGCCAGGAAAAAAUUAACACUAUGUAUAUUGGAGUUGUAAUUGUGCUGUAUAUAUCAUCUUAAACAGUAGUCAGAGUAUGUCUUUCAAAUUUUCUUAGUUGUUUUUAUUGUUAAUCUCUAUAAAAUGAUUUAUACUUU